GGACGGUUAGCUCAGUUGGGAGAGCACCUGCUUGACGUGCAGGGGGUCAUGGGUUCGAGCCCCCUAUCGUCCACCA
Molecule: transfer RNA, 76 nt
Filed under: Erysipelotrichaceae bacterium
Lineage: Bacteria; Bacillati; Bacillota; Erysipelotrichia; Erysipelotrichales; Erysipelotrichaceae
Also listed under: 1 other name
Description: tRNA-Val
Rfam family: tRNA
About the family: Transfer RNA (tRNA) molecules are approximately 80 nucleotides in length.
Source: RNAcentral